RNAcentral lists this long non-coding RNA (1122 nucleotides) under Salmo trutta (river trout). Its description in RNAcentral is "lncRNA (ENSSTUG00000016420.1)". Lineage: Eukaryota; Metazoa; Chordata; Actinopteri; Salmoniformes; Salmonidae. The record is from RNAcentral.
GGAGAUAUAGAGUUACGACUACUAUUUUUUUCUAUGAUAGCUAAACUAAUCGUGAUGUGUCGGUACAUAUCUGUCAAGUGGAGUGUGCUAGUGUGCCACAGAGGUUGCAAAGCGUACUGUAAUCUUACAAUUCGUCCUUGAGUCCAAAACAGGUGUUGAUGUUCGGUAGUUCGGUAGGUUGUAAGUGUUGCAUAUUUAUUCCCGAAUCGAAACAGUGUUGUCGUUGUGUCUUUUAAAGGGAAACGUUCGUUGGCUUAUCAGUGUUCAGUCUUGUCAUUAAUAGCAAUACAAUAUAAUCUACAAUGUCUGUAGGAUGUUGCUUACAUCGGAUGAUGACAAACAUAGGCUAUGCUUGAAUGGGCAACAUAUGCGUAAUGGAAAUAUCAUGGACAUACAGUAUCAUAGCCUACGAGAGCAGGCUUUUAGCAUUACAGCCAAUACCAAAUAAAACAAGAAAAUGAAAUUACCAAGACUCGGGAAUGUCUUUGAUAAAAUAUCUCCAUGUAAUUUGAAUGUCUCAUUACCCGUUAAAUGGGCUAGAAUAAUUGUAUAGCCUACAAUUGACAGUGGUAGUAAUUAUUGGUAAUUAAUGGAUCUAGUCAUAAUUCCAUCCAAACACAUCGUCAGGACUACAUGGAAUUUAUUUUCCUACAAAACAUGCCUUCAAGACUAUUUCCAUCAUGGAGGAUAGUGUGAGCACAAUGAUGAAGACAUGGACACAUUGCAUAUAAUGCGCGUGGAUGGAAGAAAGAAGAACAGCAAAGUCCCGCCUCCUGGAUGCCACUGAGCCUUGUGAUGCAGUCUCCAUGACGACUACAGUUUCCUGGGUAACCCCGUUAAUAUUACCAUGGUAUCGCUCUGCGUUUUCACAGAAACCCUCCAGAUGGAUGAGCAGCCCGCCUUGAAAGCGAGAGCAGAGCCCUCCGUGAGUCUUAAUAUGUGGGAUGGAUAUUUUCACUUGGCUAGAUCAGAUAACCUCAUCUCAACCUACCAACAAGCAUCGCCCAACCAACACUGCUGCAGCAGAACACAUGCACCUGAAAGGUAGUGUACAUCUCUCUCGUAUUCUUCCUUUUGUUAUGUGAUGGAUUAUGUCUGCAUGUCAUUGAAAGAUGUAAAAGC